RNAcentral lists this ribosomal RNA (274 nucleotides) under uncultured bacterium. RNAcentral describes it as "partial 16S ribosomal RNA". It matches the Rfam family "Bacterial small subunit ribosomal RNA", at positions 523 to 796 of the family's 1533-position model. The record is from RNAcentral.
AUACGGAGGGGGUUGGCGUUGUUCGGAAUUACUGGGCGUAAAGCGCACGUAGGCGGAUUGGAAAGUUGGGGGUGAAAUCCCAGGGCUCAACCCUGGAACUGCCUCCAAAACUAACAGUCUAGAGUUCGAGAGAGGUGAGUGGAAUUCCAAGUGUAGAGGUGAAAUUCGUAGAUAUUUGGAGGAACACCAGUGGCGAAGGCGGCUCACUGGCUCGAUACUGACGCUGAGGUGCGAAAGCGUGGGGAGCAAACAGGAUUAGAAACCCUAGUAGUCC